Sporothrix schenckii ATCC 58251 is the source of this 121-nucleotide transfer RNA. It matches the Rfam family "tRNA". Rfam says of the family: Transfer RNA (tRNA) molecules are approximately 80 nucleotides in length. Their secondary structure includes four short double-helical elements and three loops (D, anti-codon, and T loops). NCBI's taxonomy places the organism in Eukaryota, Fungi, Ascomycota, Sordariomycetes, Ophiostomatales, Ophiostomataceae. The record is from Rfam.
GGCAAGAUGGCCGAGUGGUUAAGGCGUUGGUUUUAGGCCACGAACUUUCCUUGUUCAACGAGGAAAGCGGUUUUAAAGUCACCAAUCCGAAAGGGCGAGGGUUCGAAUCCCUCUCUUGUCA